This is a non-coding RNA of Schizosaccharomyces pombe (fission yeast), 431 nucleotides long. The record is from the annotation of a GenBank genome assembly. Lineage: Eukaryota; Fungi; Ascomycota; Schizosaccharomycetes; Schizosaccharomycetales; Schizosaccharomycetaceae.
CUAGAAGAUAUUUUGUGCGCAAUUUUUCAUUAGCUUCGUCGUCCGUUUCACCAGGUUUUCCAGCAACUUUUGAAAUAGCAGCUGUACCAAAGUCAUCCCUAUCGUCUUCUUCCAGAUCAUUUUCUUCUUGCCGAUUCCAAUUCUCUUUUUCUUUUGAUGAGGGAGCAGGCUCAGCAGCAGGCGAUGCCGUAUUUGCCUUUGCAUGAGCUCCUGCUGUAGGAGAAUUAGAUUGAUCGUAGCUCAUCGAUCGCUGAAAUCGAGGUACUGAACUCGCAGAACCAGUUCGUUUCAUAUUUAUCCCUUCUAUCUUCAAAAAACUGAAGAGCUCUAAAUGUUUAAAAAUUGGGUUUGAUUUUGUUAUGCAAAGUGAGAAUGUACAAGAAGUAAAUUUCACAGGUUGGAAACUGCUUCAUACAUAAGCAAGUACACUA